Molecule: signal recognition particle RNA, 95 nt
Filed under: Halobacteriovoraceae bacterium
Lineage: Bacteria; Pseudomonadati; Bdellovibrionota; Bacteriovoracia; Bacteriovoracales; Halobacteriovoraceae
Also listed under: 1 other name
Description: signal recognition particle sRNA small type
Rfam family: Bacterial small signal recognition particle RNA
About the family: The signal recognition particle (SRP) is a universally conserved ribonucleoprotein involved in the co-translational targeting of proteins to membranes. Archaeal SRP consists of a 7S RNA and homologues of the eukaryotic SRP19 and SRP54 proteins.
Source: RNAcentral
CACUUGGCAGUUUGCGAUUGUAUUGCUAGGAAUCCGCCAGGCCUGGAAGGGAGCAACGGUACUAGUAUAUACUUUGUGCAAGCUGCCACUUUCCU